RNAcentral lists this long non-coding RNA (478 nucleotides) under Zonotrichia albicollis (white-throated sparrow). Its description in RNAcentral is "lncRNA (ENSZALG00000009178.1)". Lineage: Eukaryota; Metazoa; Chordata; Aves; Passeriformes; Passerellidae. The record is from RNAcentral.
CUGUGUCCCCAGUGACCCCAAUGUCCCUGCUGUGUCCCCAAUGACCCCAAAGCCCCAAUACCCCAAUGUCCUGCUGUCCCCAAGGAUGUCCCUCACCCUCAGUGUUGGGUUGUACCUCUGAUGUCCCCAAUGUCCCCAAAGCCCCAAUGUCCUGCUGUCCCUCACUUGGUGACGGUGAUGGGCACGCAGUGCCAGGCGUUGCUCAGGACCCCUCUCAGGUUCCAGAUGUCCCCAAUGACCCCAAUGUCCCUGCUGUGUCCCCAAUACCCCAAUGUCCUGCUGUCCCUCACUUGGUGACGGUGACGGGCACGCGGUGCCAGGUGUUGCUGAGGACCCCACACAGGUUCCAGAUGUCCCCAAUGACCCCAAUGUCCCUGCUGUGUCCCCAAUGUCCUGGUGUCCCCAAGGAUGUCCCUCACCCUCGGUGUUGGGUUGUACCUCUGAUGUCCCCAAUACCCCAAUACCCCAAUGUCCUGCU